GUAGCCCAGUUCGUGGAAAAUUCCACAUUCCAGGAACACGGUGACUUUGGAAAUGCAAGGGGGAACAUGGGAGGACCUACUAUUGGAGUACUUGAAAGAAUACAGAGGGUGGCAGAGACAGGCUAGCCAUAGCCCACCAGGAGGUAGAGAUUUGACAACUGAGGUUUCAGUUUACAUAGGAAUUAUGGUUGGUGGAUCUGACUUUUGACUGACUAUGACGAUGAACUGAUCCUGAAGGGCUUCGAUAAGCUUACUGUGAGCAGAGAUGACUUCCCUCUAUCCAGAAUGGUUAGGACAGGCAGCCCCUGAAGCCAAAUAUCCUAGAUUCACAAUCCCAGCUACACCAUUUCCCAGCUCUGCUUUUGGACAAAGUACUCUACUUCUUUAUGCCUCAGAUUCCUCCUAGUGAUAACUUGCCACACAUUUUUAUGAAGAAUAAAUAAGUUAAUCUUUGUAAAGCCCUCAGAUUGCCACAUAGUAUGGGACUUCACCGAACAAGAAAACAUGAAUGAACUCCACUGUUGUGAAACUGACUGCUGUCUCCUUGGGCUCUGCGGGUGUGUGAAGCCUGGUGUGAGUGUGUGAGAGCCCUGGUACAAGGCAGAGCCCUCCCACAUCGCCUGCUGCAUGGAAGGUUCUUUGUCUGACCAGGCUCACCGCUGAUGUGGCUUUCUCAGGUUUCUAGAGGCAGCUGCAGAGCUCAGAGAGAGCCCUGGAGCCUUAUCUGGAUUCUGGAGGGCAAUGAUUCCAUGGAAAACUGGGUGACACUUGUCUACAGUGGUUGAACUAGCAAAAUGCCAGGAAUAUAUAGGACCCAAGACUGACUUCCCCAGAUGUUUUCCUCUGCACAAAGUGUCUUUCUUGGAGGUGAACAUGGAAUAUGGAAAGAGUUCCCAGAGAGUAAUCUGGUGAACUUCAGAUGACUUGGUUGGACAGAAUCUGAUGGAAAGUAAGCUAAAAGAAACCAGUGUGGCUGAAUGCAAGCACUCUGGUGCCAUGUCCAGGCAUUUCCAAGUGGCACCCGGGGCACCGUUGUUGCUAUUCCAUGGCUCCUUCAGAACUCAUCAAUACUCUGACUGCAGAUGGUUUUCCUGAAAGUUACAGCUGUAGAAAGAAGAUGAGAAUUUCUUUAAAUACACAGAAAUGAUUCUGAGCUACACUUACGAAAGUGAGGAUGGAAAAAAAGAGUUCUUGAUCAUUCCUGAUUCCAUCACAGUGUGUUUCUCUUUAAUCUCUUUAUUCAUGAAAGAAACCUACUUUGUUUUUAAAAUUAAACUAUCCCCAGAUUAAUAGCCAUUUAAUUGAAUAUUUUUUAGCAUUUUUGGAAUUAAAUUUCAUAAUGUUCCAGUCAUAAAAUAAUCAUUUUAUUUUUUUUGUCCUUAUGCAUGAUUUUCAUGAUCUUUUACUUAAGUUCUUUUAAUCAGGUUUCCACUAAGUCAUUGUAUGUGUGUGUGAUAUGUAUGCUUGAGGAGUGUGUGUGAGAGAGAGAGAGGGAAAAGUGAGGUCCCUUAAGUGUUGCCAGUGUUUCAUUUCCUUUGGUUUUGAACCCAGGUUUCCUGAAUUGCAAGCAGUCUCCUGCAUUGCAGGUGGAUGCUUUACCAGCUAAGCCACCAGGGAAGCCCUUUUAACUAUAUUAUCAACUAAAUAAUUCAUUUUUCAAGAUUAAUCAAUUUUACUUACAAUGUGCUUAGCUAAAUUUUGCUGGAUAUAUCAUUUUUUGUUGACUGUGUAUUAAAGUAUAAAUGGUAUUUUUGAAAAAUAAAACCAUUAUGCAGGUGAA
Molecule: long non-coding RNA, 1780 nt
Organism: Bubalus bubalis (water buffalo)
Lineage: Eukaryota; Metazoa; Chordata; Mammalia; Artiodactyla; Bovidae
Exons: 3
Source: RefSeq, a predicted model, not a curated record